GGGGACGUACUGGUCUCGACGGGGUAGCUGAGACCGGGAAAGCGGGUGGAGGAUUCUCGUUGUGCCUCCUUAAAAAACGGGAACGCAAGUAAUUGCAAACGACACACAGCUCGUAGCUGCUUGAUAUAGCUACCGUCUGACUGUUAUAUCUGCGUAACGGUUAUAGACGCGAUCUGCAGACCUUACCUGUUAGAGGAUAAACGGGACAACCUCAGCGCAUAAGCUUUGCUGUGCUGUUGUACUUAUGAAGCUACCGGAUGCAUCUCCUGUCAGUGGGGUCAAUGCAAAGGGGAAUACUUCAAACACUGACUGCACCCGGAGAUGUCCCGGAGGAUUCUGUUCCGGACAGGGGUUCAAUUCCCCUCGUCUCCACCA
This 375-nucleotide transfer-messenger RNA is filed under the name Ruminococcaceae bacterium YRB3002. It matches the Rfam family "transfer-messenger RNA". From Rfam's summary of the family: Bacterial tmRNA, also known as 10Sa RNA or SsrA, is named for its dual tRNA and mRNA-like properties. Its role is to liberate the mRNA from a stalled ribosome. To accomplish this part of the tmRNA is used as a reading frame that ends in a translation stop signal. Lineage: Bacteria; Bacillati; Bacillota; Clostridia; Eubacteriales; Oscillospiraceae. RNAcentral also lists the same sequence under 1 other name. The record is from Rfam by way of RNAcentral.